GCGCUCAUAGUUCAACGGAUAGAACGUAGGCUUGCGGAGCCUGAGAUCCAGGUUCGAUUCCUGGUGAGCGCACCA
RNAcentral lists this transfer RNA (75 nucleotides) under Candidatus Peregrinibacteria bacterium CG_4_9_14_0_2_um_filter_53_11. RNAcentral describes it as "tRNA-Arg". It matches the Rfam family "tRNA". Rfam says of the family: Transfer RNA (tRNA) molecules are approximately 80 nucleotides in length. Their secondary structure includes four short double-helical elements and three loops (D, anti-codon, and T loops). Further hydrogen bonds mediate the characteristic L-shaped molecular structure. tRNAs have two regions of fundamental functional importance: the anti-codon, which is responsible for specific mRNA codon recognition, and the 3' end, to which the tRNAs corresponding amino acid is attached (by aminoacyl-tRNA synthetases). tRNAs cope with the degeneracy of the genetic code in two manners: having more than one tRNA (with a specific anti-codon) for a particular amino acid; and 'wobble' base-pairing, i.e. permitting non-standard base-pairing at the 3rd anti-codon position. RNAcentral also lists the same sequence under 1 other name. The record is from RNAcentral. Lineage: Bacteria; Candidatus Peregrinibacteriota.